AGUGAACGCUGGCGGUAGGCCUAACACAUGCAAGUCGAACGGCAGCACAGUAAGAGCUUGCUCUUACGGGUGGCGAGUGGCGGACGGGUGAGGAAUACAUCGGAAUCUACUUUUUCGUGGGGGAUAACGUAGGUAAACUUACGCUAAUACCGCAUACGACCUACGGGUGAAAGCAGGGGAUCUUCGGACCUUGCGCGAUUGAAUGAGCCGAUGUCGGAUUAGCUAGUUGGCGGGGUAAAGGCCCACCAAGGCGACGAUCCGUAGCUGGUCUGAGAGGAUGAUCAGCCACACUGGAACUGAGACACGGUCCAGACUCCUACGGGAGGCAGCAGUGGGGAAUAUUGGACAAUGGGCGCAAGCCUGAUCCAGCCAUACCGCGUGGGUGAAGAAGGCCUUCGGGUUGUAAAGCCCUUUUGUUGGGAAAGAAAAGCAGAAGGUUAAUACCCCGCUGUUCUGACGGUACCCAAAGAAUAAGCACCGGCUAACUUCGUG
This 492-nucleotide ribosomal RNA is filed under the name uncultured bacterium. RNAcentral describes it as "partial 16S ribosomal RNA". It matches the Rfam family "Bacterial small subunit ribosomal RNA", at positions 29 to 507 of the family's 1533-position model. The record is from RNAcentral.